CCAACGGCCCUCUUUAGGGCCACAUAAGGUGCAAAUGAAAGUGGUCU
This is a non-coding RNA of Angiostrongylus costaricensis, 47 nucleotides long. NCBI's taxonomy places the organism in Eukaryota, Metazoa, Nematoda, Chromadorea, Rhabditida, Metastrongylidae. The record is from Rfam.